This 604-nucleotide ribosomal RNA is filed under the name Penicillium janthinellum. RNAcentral describes it as "eukaryotic LSU rRNA". It matches the Rfam family "Eukaryotic large subunit ribosomal RNA", at positions 28 to 646 of the family's 3401-position model. Lineage: Eukaryota; Fungi; Ascomycota; Eurotiomycetes; Eurotiales; Aspergillaceae. The record is from RNAcentral.
CCAGUCACGACGCAUAUCAAUAAGCGGAGGAAAAGAAACCAACAGGGAUUGCCUCAGUAACGGCGAGUGAAGCGGCAAGAGCUCAAAUUUGAAAGCUGGCCCCCUCGGGGUCCGCGUUGUAAUUUGCAGAGGAUGCUUCGGGAGCGGCCCCCAUCUAAGUGCCCUGGAACGGGCCGUCAUAGAGGGUGAGAAUCCCGUCUGGGAUGGGGUGCCCGCGCCCGUGUGAAGCUCCUUCGACGAGUCGAGUUGUUUGGGAAUGCAGCUCUAAAUGGGUGGUAAAUUUCAUCUAAAGCUAAAUACUGGCCGGAGACCGAUAGCGCACAAGUAGAGUGAUCGAAAGAUGAAAAGCACUUUGAAAAGAGAGUUAAACAGCACGUGAAAUUGUUGAAAGGGAAGCGCUUGCGACCAGACUCGCUCGCGGGGUUCAGCCGGCCUUCGGGCCGGUGUACUUCCUCGCGGGCGGGCCAGCGUCGGUUUGGGCGGCCGGUCAAAGGCCCUCGGAAUGUAACGCCCCCCGGGGCGUCUUAUAGCCGAGGGUGCCAUGCGGCCAGCCCGGACCGAGGAACGCGCUUCGGCUCGGACGCUGGCAUAAUGGUCGUAAGCG